UUCGGGUUAGUGGCGGGCGGGUGAGUAACGCGUGGGAAUCUGCCCUCAGGAGGGGGAUAACGGCUGGAAACGGCCGCUAAUACCCCAUAUGCCGAGAGGUGAAAUGAAUUUCGCCUGAGGAUGAGCCCGCGUCUGAUUAGCUAGUUGGUGAGGUAAGAGCUCACCAAGGCAUCGAUCAGUAGCUGGUCUGAGAGGAUGAUCAGCCACACUGGGACUGAGACACGGCCCAGACUCCUACGGGAGGCAGCAGUGGGGAAUUUUCCGCAAUGGGCGAAAGCCUGACGGAGCAACGCCGCGUGAGGGAUGAAGGCCUCUGGGCUGUAAACCUCUUUUCUCAAGGAAGAAGAUCUGACGGUACUUGAGGAAUAAGCCACGGCUAAUUCCGUGCCAGCAGCCGCGGUAAUACGGGAGUGGCAAGCGUUAUCCGGAAUUAUUGGGCGUAAAGCGUCCGCAGGCGGCCCUUCAAGUCUGCUGUUAAAACGUGGAGCUUAACUCCAUCAUGGCAGUGGAAACUGUUGGGCUUGAGUGUGGUAGGGGCAGAGGGAAUUCCCGGUGUAGCGGUGAAAUGCGUAAAUAUCGGGAAGAACACCAGUGGCGAAGGCGCCCUGCUGGGCCAUAACUGACGCUCAUGGACGAAAGCCAGGGGAGCGAAAGGGAUUAGAUACCCCUGUAGUCCUGGCCGUAAACGAUGAACACUAGGUGUCGGGGGAAUCGACCCCCUCGGUGUCGUAGCCAACGCGUUAAGUGUUCCGCCUGGGGAGUACGCACGCAAGUGUGAAACUCAAAGGAAUUGACGGGGGCCCGCACAAGCGGUGGAGUAUGUGGUUUAAUUCGAUGCAACGCGAAGAACCUUACCAGGGUUUGACAUCCUGCGAACCUCUUGGAAACGAGAGGGUGCCUUCGGGAACGCAGUGACAGGUGGUGCAUGGCUGUCGUCAGCUCGUGUCGUGAGAUGUUUGGGUUAAGUCCCGCAACGAGCGCAACCCACGUCUUUAGUUGCCAGCAUUUAGUUGGGCACUCUAGAGAGACCGCCGGUGAUAAACCGGAGGAAAGGUGGUGGAUGACGUCAAGUCAUCAUGCCCCUUACAUCCUGG
Molecule: ribosomal RNA, 1094 nt
Filed under: uncultured marine bacterium
Lineage: Bacteria
Description: bacterial SSU rRNA
Rfam family: Bacterial small subunit ribosomal RNA
Source: RNAcentral